Cercocebus atys (sooty mangabey) is the source of this 800-nucleotide RNA transcript. It is a transcript of the gene named glutathione S-transferase omega-1 pseudogene, with no coding region annotated. Lineage: Eukaryota; Metazoa; Chordata; Mammalia; Primates; Cercopithecidae. The transcript has a single exon. The record is from RefSeq and is a predicted model, not a curated record.
CCCAGCCUGCGCUGCGCCACGAUGUCCGGGGAGUCAGCCAGGAGCCUGGGGAAGGGAAGCGCGCCCCCGGGGCCGGUCCCGGAGGGCUCGAUCCGCGUCUACAGCGUGAGGUUCUGCCCGUUUGCUGAGAGGACGCGUCUGGUCCUGAAGGCCAAAGGAAUCAGGCAUGAACUCAUCAGUAUCAACCUGAAAAAUAAGCCUGAGUGGUUCUUUAAGAAAAAUCCCUUUGGUCUGGUGCCAGUUCUGGAAAACAGUCAGGAUCAGCUGUUCUGUGAGUCUCCCAUCACCUGUGAGUACCUGGAUGAGGCAUACCCAGGGAAGAAGCUGUUGCCGGAUGACUCCUAUGAGAAAGCUUGCCAGAAGAUGAUCUUAGAGCUGUUUUCUAAGGUGCCAUCCUUAGUAAGAAGCUUUAUUAGAAGCCAAAAUAAAGAAGACUAUGCUGGCCUAAAAGAAGAAUUUCGUAAAGAAUUUAUCGAGCUAGAGGAGGUUCUGAGUAAUAAGAAGACGAUGUUCUUUGGUGACAAUUCUCCCUCUAUGGUUGAUUACCUCAUCUGGCCCUGGUUUGAACGGCUGGAAGCAAUGAAGUUAUAUGAGUGUGUAGACCACACUCCAAAACUUAAACUGUGGAUGGCAGCCAUGAGGGAAGAUCCCACAGUCUCAGCCCUGCUCACUAGUGAGAAGGACUGGCAAGGUUUCCUAGAGCUUUACUUACAGAACUGUCCUGAGGCCUGUGACUAUGGGCUCUGAAGGGGGCAGGAGUCAGCAAUAAAGCUAUGUCUGAUGUUUUCCUUCACUAAAAA